This 532-nucleotide ribosomal RNA is filed under the name uncultured bacterium. Its description in RNAcentral is "bacterial SSU rRNA". It matches the Rfam family "Bacterial small subunit ribosomal RNA", at positions 245 to 773 of the family's 1533-position model. The record is from RNAcentral.
AUAGUAGGCGGGGUAACGGCCCACCUAGUCCACGAUGAAUAGGGGUUCUGAGAGGAAGGUCCCCCACACUGGUACUGAGACACGGACCAGACUCCUACGGGAGGCAGCAGUGAGGAAUAUUGGUCAAUGGGCGCGAGCCUGAACCAGCCAAGUAGCGUGAAGGAUGACUGCCCUAUGGGUUGUAAACUUCUUUUAUAUGGGAAUAAAAAGAGCCACGUGUGGUUUAUUGUAUGUACCAUUAUGAAUAAGCAUCGGCUAACUCCGUGCCAGCAGCCGCGGUAAUACGGAGGAUGCGAGCGUUAUCCGGAUUUAUUGGGUUUAAAGGGAGCGUAGGUGGAUAAUUAAGUCAGUUGUGAAAGUUUGCGGCUCAACCGUAAAAUUGCAGUUGAUACUGGUUAUCUUGAGUACAGUAGAGGUGGGCGGAAUUCGUGGUGUAGCGGUGAAAUGCUUAGAUAUCACGAAGAACUCCGAUUGCGAAGGCAGCUCACUGGACUGCAACUGACACUGAGGCUCGAAAGUGUGGGUAUCAAAC